AUCCAAUUGACGAGUCCCAAAUAAAACGAAACGCGCAUCCUUGAU
This 45-nucleotide non-coding RNA is filed under the name Schistosoma curassoni. Lineage: Eukaryota; Metazoa; Platyhelminthes; Trematoda; Strigeidida; Schistosomatidae. The record is from RNAcentral.